This 98-nucleotide small nucleolar RNA is filed under the name Cavia porcellus (domestic guinea pig). Its description in RNAcentral is "Small nucleolar RNA SNORA25 (ENSCPOG00000028409.2)". Lineage: Eukaryota; Metazoa; Chordata; Mammalia; Rodentia; Caviidae. The record is from RNAcentral.
AGGUCAUUUCGAGGAGGGCUGGAGUGGUGGCGGCUGUGGAUCAAAAAGCUCUGAAGGCAGUGGCCAAAGACUGAAAUUCACUACAGAGUGACAAGAAG